RNA transcript from Jatropha curcas, 3907 nucleotides. RefSeq lists it as uncharacterized. The record is from RefSeq and is a predicted model, not a curated record. NCBI's taxonomy places the organism in Eukaryota, Viridiplantae, Streptophyta, Magnoliopsida, Malpighiales, Euphorbiaceae.
CCUGUGUUUUCAUUACAAACAGCAGACUCAGACACUAAAAUAUCGAUACAUAAAAGAACUCUGAGACCAAACACCGGUCACUGAUUGGUGAUCAGUGAUUACAGGCGAUCGAGUGGCCUUAUUUGGCCGGAAAAUAGAAUAACCCUUAUCCGCUGGCGGCAACGGUCAUAUUUCCAGUUAGAAAUUUCACUGAGAGCUCAAGUUUGUCAUUUUUUUGGAUAUUAGGUUAUAUUGCGAAAUGGGCAUAAGUUAAAACAAAGAGAGAGAAUUGCAGAAAUGGAGUGGAAGGAGAGUAUUGUGAAUGGAAGAGGAAUAUCAGAAUUAACGGCUGGGACCUGGGAUUGUUCAAUUUGUAGAGGUGGAUCCGAUGUUCUGGUGUUAGUUGGGUAACUUCGGUUCAUGCAGUUAGGGUUUAGUUUUGCUCUUGCUUCUAUUAUUUUACACGAAAAAAAAGCGAGUGGUUUUGUGGAACAGGAAUUUACAGUUUACCGGUAUGUAUUAUAUUUUCCCUGUUUCAAAGAAGCCACGAGUCAUUUUAUUAGUGCAAAGCCAAAGGUAUGUAAGCUGACUGUAACGGGUGUUGUAUUUAUGUUCUUGCUGUAUAAAGCAUCAAACUUUCUGAUUGCUGCAAGAAUUUUUUGACACAAAGCUAUUGACUUUAUUGUGGAAGAUUAUAAAUACUUUUAAAUACUUUUCAAUUGGAAAAUUUAGGGUUUUUUUACGGGGGUUGUUGGAAUGGUGUAGAUUAUGCAGAAGUUUAUGAGGUCUUGAGAUUGAGGUUGAGGGGUUGCCAUAAAUCUGGCUUUCUGGAUCGCUCAAACCCUAAAAGACCAGAGCUGGAUCUUCUUUCUUUCUCCCAAAAAAAAAAACAAAUAGACACUGCCUCAGCUAAGGACCCUAUAACAGAAACAAAGGAAAGGUCAGAUUUUACUGUAUUUGGAGCCAAGAUCCCCUUUGAUUCUGUAUAUCUCAUUUCUUGGUUUUUCAAUCUUGGAUUUGGUUGAUUUGACUGUUUGAUUUUUUUGACCUUAAAAGUAUUAAAGAAUCAGAUUGUUACCUAUUUUGAUUGUUAAGCACCUGUAGCUACCGUAUAGGCUCAACAGUUUAUUGUGGGUUAAUUUCCUUGUCUGAAACAGUUUAGAAAACCAGAUUAGUUUUGUGGGUAACUAAUUUAAGACAUUACUUGCUUAGUUUGAGGAUUACAACUUUUUAAUUCUAUGUAUUGCUGGUUCUGGAUUUUGGGCAGCUAAAGGCAUCUGCUACUUUUACUCGCUCUACUUGGCUUCAAUUGUUUGUUGUUGUAUUCUUGCAUCUACUAGUCUUUGAGAACAAACAGGAAUAGAAAGAUGCAUGCGAGGCAUCGAAGUCCUGGAAAUGGGUUCAGGUCUAAUUCGAUGGGGAUGGGCUUGGGCACCUCAAGGAUAUCCCCUGAAAAUUCAGCCAGAGGUCGUGGCUUUUACAAUUCUGAAUACAGAAGCUUCAAUAAUCGUGGUUUUGGCCGUGGCCAGGGCCAGCAUAAAUCAUUUCAGCAACCAUCUCAGCCACCACCACGCAAAGGAGACAUUUUGAUGGAAGCUGGUAGACUUGCAGCUGAGUAUUUAGUUUCCAAGGGAUUGUUACCUCAGAGUGCACUUUCUGGUAAGUGGCAGAAUGGUAGUUUGAAGAAGCAAGUUAGUGAUUAUCAGGAUCUUAGGUUACAAGAGGACCUUACACAGGAAGGCCGAACAUCUGCUCAUGCCCGUGUAGGAAGUGGUUCUUCUGAUGAAGGAGCAGGUAGGAGAAAGUAUUCUGAUGACUUCAGUUUGAAGAAUCAUGUAAGAGGAAGGAGGAGAGGAGAGUAUUACAAUCGGAGUUAUAGCUCAGAAAGAGAGUAUGGGAGGAGUGGGUGUAUGUCAGAUACAAAUAGAGUAUCUCCUGAUAUGGAGGGAGGUGAUGAUGCUGUUUCUGGACAUUAUGAAGAGCGGCAAGUUGGCGGAGAUGUUGGAGAUGGGAUGCAGAAGUCUGUUCAGAGUGGGUCUGCACCAGAAAGUGAGGAAGCAACUGAUAUGGAAUCAGGAGCGGAGUUUAAUAAUUCAGAUGAAAUGGGUUCUAAGCCAAGUUCUUUUAGUGUUAAAGAUAAGACUGAUGGGGAACCUAUCAAGGCAUCUGAUGGUUUGACAAACUUGAAUGUGGGGAUUGAGGAGACAAAGGACUCCAAUGAUGAUCAAGAAACUGAGAAACAGAUUGUUCCUGACGGCUCAACCAUUGAGCACUCUGCAGUGGAGGGUGAUCUCUCUGGCAAACGUGGAUCUGAUUUACUAACAUUUUGCAAAUUUGCCAAGAUCCCAACAAAAACACGCUCUGCAUUGACAUACAGGGGGCCCAAGAUUGACCAAGUUCUGAAGAAGGAAGAGGAAAACACAUCUGGUAUCGUGCCUUCCAAAGGAUCUGAAGUCUCAAUUGAAUAUGGCAGUCUUGAUUUUUCUGCAGCUGAUGUGCUACCAAAUACAACUCAUGAUCCAAAAUACUCUGAUCCUGAAAUAUCAAAAGCAGUGCCUGCACAGUCUGCUGAGGAUGCAGGAGAAUUAGACCCUGCAUAUGGUUCUGACCAUGGUAAAUGCAUGAGGUCUCAGUCAUUUCCAGAUAGAGCUUUUAUGCAUAAUACUGAGCAGGAACCAAGUCAGGGGGUUCCAGGUUUUGGAAGGUCCACCUCGGUUAAAGAGAGAGGUGAGAAACGAACUGCAGAAGAUAAUAGUGUGAAUGAAGCAACCAAGAAACCUAGAGAAUGGCUUCCGUCGUUGGUUGGUAUAGCUGGUGACCAUCUUCAUCUUUCUAAUUUAAUUCAAAAUCAAGAUAGUUUACAAGACGGGAGGACUUCAUCUGAUCAGCAUGCGAUUGUGGCCGAUACACAAGCCAGCUUGGUAAAUAGUCAUCAAGUUGCAAAGCCUGGUGGUGAAGCAUGCGUUGAUUAUUCACAAGAGAAGCAGCUUUUUCCAAGUUCAUUCAAGAUCUGUGACCUUAACCUAAUGGAAGCUUCUGAUAUAAAUGAUAAUCAUUGUAAUGAUCCAGUUCUUGUGUACCGCUCUAUCGCAGCAAAGAAAAAGGAAGCAGAACAGAUUGACGUUGACUUGUCAAUGAGUAAUUCCAACCUUUCUGGUGAAUAUCCUAGAUCCACAGAAAAUGGCAAAAAUAUUGAAGUUAUUGAUUUGGAGAAUGAAGAAGAUAAUGCUUUUGAUAAUUCACAGAGAAAGGAAAUACCAUUUACUGGCACAGAAGGGUUUCCAAAUAAUGCUCAGAAUGCUGAAGAUAUUGCUGAUGUUCCUGACAGCUAUGAUAGUCUUACAAUUUCUGAGUUCCUUACUACUUUUUCAAAUUGUGCUUCCGUAUCAGAGGAUAUUAAUCCACUGCAGAAUGAGAUGGGUCUUCAUAAUGGAGAGGGGACUCUUGGCGACGAUGACUCAAUUUACAUGUCUCUGGGAGAAAUACCAUUAAGUAUGCCAGAUUUUUAAUUUCAUGGCUUUAUACCAGCCUGGGAGCAGCAAACACCACAGGAAUAUGGGAAGCCCUUUUGAUCUGGCAAUUCUUCCAAUCAGCGAGUGUAUAUUAGUUGUGUUACUACAUCUUUGUGCUGCAACUCAUUCCUCAUUAACAAGGAGUAUCAUCGGGCUCAUAUAAAGUUUGCGAGCGGGCCAGCCUAAAUGAAUUUUUUUUUUUUAAAUCAAAUGAUGUUAUGAAUUUAAUAAUUUCCAAAAUUUAUUUAAAAAUUGAACAUAUAUUCUGUAAUUUUUAUGGUAAAUGUGUAAUUCUUAAUUAUUGUAUUAUUAAUUUUUUAGGAAAUAAUUUUCUAAAAAAUGUAUUGAUGCAUAAAACUGUAAUAUAUAAAAUUAAACUAUAUGCGAGUGAACGAAUGGGUUAGGAGCUUAGAUAA